Molecule: long non-coding RNA, 2020 nt
Organism: Ictidomys tridecemlineatus (thirteen-lined ground squirrel)
Lineage: Eukaryota; Metazoa; Chordata; Mammalia; Rodentia; Sciuridae
Source: Ensembl
AUGUUCUCUACCCCUGCUGUGAAGCUGAGGAGGCCUGGCCCCAAGAUCAACUGCCUCUAUCCCCAGCUCCCUGUCCCUGCCUCUAUCCCCAGCCUGGGGCAGAGGAAGCACCAGCCCUUUCAUCCCAGGAGAUCAAAGCAGCCUGUGCAGUGGACUCCAGAGAAAGCAAGGCACGCAGGCAGUGGAUCAAGGAGCUUGGUGAGUCUGGAACUUUGGCUGCCUGGAAAGCCACCCAUCCAUCAGUUACAAUCAAUCAGAGAACACUUAUUAAUUGCCUGUCUCUGCUGUGGCUCCAUUUUUGGCACCCCACGCUCUCAUUUGGUUUGGUGAAGGGAGUGUCUACCUUGAGCCAGUUGAGGGUAACCUCCCAGUGCCCCUUCCUAAGCAGGUGGAACACAGCAGGCCUCUAGCUACUGAAGAUGGAAUUAACCACCCUUCAACAUAAAACUGGGGAGAGAGAGCAACAAAAGGAGGGGAGAAUGAGGGUGAUUUCAUCCCCCUCCCCAAACCUUCCCGCCCUUUGUCCAUCCCAGGAUUAGGUUAACCCCUAGUGUGCCAGAAGCAACCAGAGCUCCAGGCAAACUCUCCCUCCUCUGGGUUGAAUGUGGAUGUGUGGAAUCAAAGGAUUCCCAGAAGCACAGAUCCCUGUGAUCAAGCAAUUCCUGGAGUCCAAGCUUCUGUAUGUCCUGGGCUUCCCAGGCCGUCCAGUGUGAGAUGUAGACCUCUUACUUCCAUAAGGCCACUCUGGGGGAAGGGGGCUCAGUCAUGGCCCUGUGAAGUGGCAAUGACACCAGUGAGCCCUGGUAUUUCCCCUCUCCUCCUUAGGAGAGAUGCACUCCAGGAUUCAGGGGUGGGGACACCUCCUCCCCACACACCUGUUUUCACAAACUGCUCUCCCUGGCAUCCGCCAUCCAGCCAGAUUUGUGGAGCUCCAGCAGUGAGCUGGCUGGUAGGAAAAGGGGCACAGAAAUAAUGAGGUCAGGCUCCUGCCUUUCAGAAGAUCACCCAAACCCCAAAUCCCGACAGCCAAGCUGACCCCCUCUAACAAACUGCCUGGCAACUCUGACUGGAAGAUUCACUGGAAAUCUCAUAUUCUUGCCCCAGGGGGAACUAGUCUCUGUAUUCCCACCCCUCUAUCCUGAAACUGCAAAGUGAGGACCAUGUGCUUCAGUCAAGCUCCCCUUUGCCCCCCUCACUCUGCUAGGGGCAGAGGUCAUCAUCUCAGGUUUCUUCCCAGAGGGCUACAAGGACCCUUCCCCCACCUUGACCCAAAUUGGGUGUCCCACUGGGAACCCAGUAGCUUCCCCAGGGACACAAAGGGUUAAAUCUAGGCAAGGGGAAUCGGUCGGAUUUGCCUCCUAAACGCAUUUUCCAGUUCAUUCCCCAGCACAAUAUGCCUGGGCUGGUCCCAACCUCCGCCCCCACCCCACCCGUCAGAGUGGGCCACUGUGGGCCACCUCAGGGUCCUGCGCUGUCUUAACCCUUUGGCUGCUGGCAGCCCGCACCUCGAGGAAGGAAGGAUACGCUCGGCACCCUCGUGGCCCCUCGGGAAAGUGGGUCAAGCAGCCACCUGGCUGGCACGAAGCCCGUGGCACCUCCUCCCGGGAGAACCCCUAGCAUUAGAAGCGGAGUUCCAAGGCGGAGCCCAGUCCCGCGCAAGGCCGAGUUUUCGAUCCCCAGCAGUUCGGGCCUCACCCUCCAGGGAAGGAACCGCAGGUGAGCGAGAAACCGCCUCUGCAGCAGGAGCUGGCUCUCCGCGCCCGCGGUGGAGCGAUGUGCGGCGGGAGGGGGCCGAGAGCCCGAGACCGUCUGGCAAGGGGACGACGAAAGAAAGGAAGCCCCCCUGCCAUCCCCCAAACCCACAGCCCACCAGCUCCUAGACUGACGCCCUCCCCCUGGGGCUGUUGUCUCACACCCCGAGACGGUGAUUACGGUGAUUAUUUUGCAUUUAUGUAACAUGCAGUGUUUCCAAACUGCUUCUCGAGCUGAGAACUGGUUAUUAAAUAAAUAGAACGCUAUU